RNAcentral lists this long non-coding RNA (368 nucleotides) under Cyanistes caeruleus (blue tit). RNAcentral's name for it is "lncRNA (ENSCCEG00000012856.1)". The record is from RNAcentral. Lineage: Eukaryota; Metazoa; Chordata; Aves; Passeriformes; Paridae.
UGACUUCUACCCUCCCAUAGGAGGAAGGCAUGAGGAAGAGGAAACAAGACAUCUAAGUCUCUGCUUAACGAGACAAAUAUUUUCUAUUCUUUUCUGUUCAGGAGAAGGGAAGCUCCAGGGGAUGAGCAAUGUAUACACUGAACACACAAGAAAUGCCUUAUCCAGCCUGCUCCUGGAAAUCACUCUCUAGAGACAUCUGGAACGGGUGCCCCUCUGAAAACACCCAAGGGAGAGAGGUGUCACACGGCACAUGGCACGCUCAGGUGUGGGACAGGGAGCACACCCGCAGGUGCAGGUGAGCUCAUGCGUGUGCAUGUGAGCCUUUAGGAGCACGCAUGCAGGUAUGUGUGCUAAAUGCAAUCUGUGUG